AAUUCUCAACCUCUUCCAUUUUUAUUAAUGGUUUAGGCUUGGAUGUGGGGGUUGCGGGCUUCUUAGAAGUCGGCUCUCCUUAAAUGCAUUAGCGGAACCUUUGUGGACCGUCUUUGGUGUGAUAAUUAUCUACGCCAUGGUCGUGAAGCAGUUUUACAUGGGGUUCAGCUUAUAACCGUCUAUUUACUUGGACAACUUUUGACA
Molecule: unclassified non-coding RNA, 204 nt
Filed under: Paralepista flaccida
Lineage: Eukaryota; Fungi; Basidiomycota; Agaricomycetes; Agaricales; Paralepistaceae
Description: partial internal transcribed spacer 2
Source: RNAcentral